RNAcentral lists this long non-coding RNA (734 nucleotides) under Bos grunniens (domestic yak). RNAcentral's name for it is "lncRNA (ENSBGRG00000008045.1)". The record is from RNAcentral. Lineage: Eukaryota; Metazoa; Chordata; Mammalia; Artiodactyla; Bovidae.
AUCAUGGCUACUUCUCUAAAUCAGCAGACAGCAGCCUGAAGAUCACCCGUAAAUGUCUGCUGCACUGAGGGCUGUUUUGGCUAAUGGAAAAAGGACACCAAGUUGAAGAUCCAUCCAGCCUUUCUGCUUUCAGUGUCCUUGGAGCCAUCAGCAGCUGUGUCCCCACAAAGCCCUGACACUACUCUGUGUGGUACUACUGAGCCUCCUUAAUGUCCCUCCUUGCUGUGAAAUCUUAGUGCUUCAGCCUCUUCUUGAUGGGUAUCUCACCUUGCCCUUGAAGGAGAGCUUUGCUCAGAAAAUAGAGUCCUGGGAGGUAAGGUGUGGUCUUCACCCUCCAAUAGAACCCACCUAUACUUAAGGGUCUCCAUGUUGCAGGGUCUGCAGAUAUCAGUUAGACUGGGGUCCUGUCUGGGCCAGCAACGGGCCUCUUAGAAAUACCUUAUCACAGCUGACCUUAGGUUCACGACUGGGCUUCUCUAAGAGGCCUGAUUAAUUCAUGGUGCCCCGUCGCCCAUAGCCACCCCGAGACACGAGGAUUUACUGUACCAGUUUAUUGCCAAGCUGUAUUAGUUGAUAAGCAGGAAACUCCAGACCAUCUGUUUAAAAAUAAAAAGUUAACAGCGGCACAGCCCUAGAGCUCACACUUUGUACUGCUGCAUAGUAAACGAGCCCACUGGGUGCAGUGACCUCGGCUGAGGUGGCCACAGGCUUGUCCUCCACCCCUCUCACCCGGG